GAUGAACGCUAGCGGCAGGCUUAAUACAUGCAAGUCGAGGGACAGCACAGGUAGCAAUACUGGGUGGUAACCGGCAAACGGGUGCGGGACACGUACACAACCUUCCUUUAAGUGGGGGAUAGCCCAGAGAAAUUUGGAUUAAUACCCCGUAAUAUAGUUGAAUGGCAUCAUUUGAUUACUAUAGCUACGGCGCUUAAUGAUGGGUGUGCGGCUGAUUAGAUAGUUGGCGGGGUAACGGCCCACCAAGUCUACGAUCAGUAGCUGAUGUGAGAGCAUGAUCAGCCACACGGGCACUGAGACACGGGCCCGACUCCUACGGGAGGCAGCAGUAAGGAAUAUUGGUCAAUGGACGCAAGUCUGAACCAGCCAUGCCGCGUGAAGGAUUAAGGUCCUCUGGAUUGUAAACUUCCUUUAUUUGGGACGAAAAAGGGCCUUUCUAGGUCAACUGACGGUACCAGAUGAAUAAGCACCGGCUAACUCCGUGCCAGCCGCCGCGGUAA
RNAcentral lists this ribosomal RNA (500 nucleotides) under uncultured bacterium. RNAcentral describes it as "partial 16S ribosomal RNA". It matches the Rfam family "Bacterial small subunit ribosomal RNA", at positions 28 to 523 of the family's 1533-position model. The record is from RNAcentral.